GGGCGGUUGGCUCAGCUGGUGAGAGCGCUACCUUCACACGGUAGAGGUCAUAGGUUCGAAUCCUAUACCGCCCACC
This 76-nucleotide transfer RNA is filed under the name candidate division TA06 bacterium ADurb.Bin417. Its description in RNAcentral is "tRNA-Val". It matches the Rfam family "tRNA". From Rfam's summary of the family: Transfer RNA (tRNA) molecules are approximately 80 nucleotides in length. Their secondary structure includes four short double-helical elements and three loops (D, anti-codon, and T loops). The record is from RNAcentral.